UCAUCAGGUGAGAUAAUCCUUACCUGUUCAUCCUUUUGAAGGGCAGAUACAAAAUGAUGACUGGAGUUCACAUGAUGUGUGAUUAGCGCCUCUGAGUAAUCAGGACUUGCAACACUCUGGUUUGUCGUAUCUGAU
Molecule: small nucleolar RNA, 135 nt
Organism: Nannospalax galili (Upper Galilee mountains blind mole rat)
Lineage: Eukaryota; Metazoa; Chordata; Mammalia; Rodentia; Spalacidae
Gene: U8
Rfam family: U8 small nucleolar RNA
About the family: U8 is a member of the C/D class of snoRNA which contain the C (UGAUGA) and D (CUGA) box motifs. U8 is the RNA component of a small complex (the U8 snoRNP) which is required for accumulation of mature large subunit ribosomal RNAs, 5.8S and 28S rRNAs.
Source: Ensembl